UUGUUUUCAGUAUAAUCUCAUUGUCUUUAAUGAAAAUGCAACAAGGACCAUGAUAUGGUUUGGCUCUGUGUCUCCACCCAAAUCUCAUGUUGAAUUGUAAUCCUUGGUGUUGGGGUAGGGACCUGGUGGGAGGUGGUUGGAUCAUGGUGGGGGGGUUCCCCACUUGCUGUUCUCGUGAUAGUGGAUUAUCAUGAGAUCUGGUUGUUUAAAAGUGUGUAGCACUUCCCUUUGCUCUAUCACUCUCUCCUGCUGCCACGUGAAGAAGAUAUUUGCUUCCCCUUUGCCUUCCACCAUGAUUGUAAGUUUCCUGAGGCCUCCCAUUCAUGCUUCCUGUUAAGCCUGCAGAACCCUGACCGAAGAUGAAAUGGACUAUAUAGGGAG
Molecule: long non-coding RNA, 381 nt
Filed under: Homo sapiens (human)
Lineage: Eukaryota; Metazoa; Chordata; Mammalia; Primates; Hominidae
Description: HSALNT0393346
Source: RNAcentral